GGCGAAGCCGCGAGGUGGAGCGAACCCCAGAAAUAACGUCUCAGUUCGGAUUGCAGGCUGCAACCCGCCUGCAUGAAGCCGGAAUCGCUAGUAAUCGCGGAUCAGAAUGCCGCGGUGAAUACGUUCCCGGGUCUUGUACACACCGCCCGUCACACCAUGGGAGUCGAUAACGCCCGAAGUCAGUGACCCAACCGCAAGGAGGGAGCUGCCGAAGGCAGGUCCGGUAACUGGGGUGAAGUCGUAACAAGGUAAC
Molecule: ribosomal RNA, 253 nt
Filed under: uncultured bacterium
Lineage: Bacteria
Description: partial 16S ribosomal RNA
Rfam family: Bacterial small subunit ribosomal RNA
Source: RNAcentral